Molecule: long non-coding RNA, 508 nt
Organism: Mesocricetus auratus (golden hamster)
Lineage: Eukaryota; Metazoa; Chordata; Mammalia; Rodentia; Cricetidae
Exons: 3
Source: RefSeq, a predicted model, not a curated record
AUAGGUACGUGGGGGAAGGGCUGAGAUAAAGGUCGAGGAAGGAGGGCUCUCACUCUCCCGGCUGCGGUCAAGGUCGGAGACCAGCAGAGCGCUGACCUCAGUUCUCCGCCUGUCAUACUGUGCCUACCUUUGAGAGACUCCACUUUACAGGCAGCUGAUGAGGCUGAUGAGUCCAUUUUGAGGGAGAAGGGUGACUGGAGCCCAAGGAACACUUGUAAACCACACUGUCUACGUGGCCCCACCCAGGUCACAGAACGGCGUGUGGUUAUUUAAGGCCUACAAGUUAGUAAGAAACAGAAGAUGAAAGCUGAAGAGAGAUGGACCAGAGAGAAAGAUUGUUGUGGGACAGUUGGCUUGCCUGCCCAGACAACAAGGUCUGUUUCUAGUAUUCUGCGAUACAGUUUAGGAAAAGUUAAAGCACUUCCAAGUAUGAGAAUUACCCAAAAUGCAACACUCCAGGGGGUGAGCUAGAACUGGCUGAAGGCAGAACAUGGGGUGGGAGAGAGAG